RNAcentral lists this ribosomal RNA (253 nucleotides) under uncultured bacterium. RNAcentral describes it as "partial 16S ribosomal RNA". It matches the Rfam family "Bacterial small subunit ribosomal RNA", at positions 524 to 776 of the family's 1533-position model. The record is from RNAcentral.
CACGUAGGGCGCAAGCGUUGUCCGGAAUUAUUGGGCGUAAAGAGCUCGUAGGUGGUUUGUUACGUCUGCUGUGAAAACCUAGGGCUUAACCCUGGGCUUGCAGUGGAUACGGGCAGACUAGAGGUAGGUAGGGGAGAAUGGAAUUCCUGGUGUAGCAGUGAAAUGCGCAGAUAUCAGGAGGAACACCGGUGGCGAAAGCGGCUCACUGGACCACAACUGACGCUGAGGCGCGAAAGCUAGGGGAGCAAACAGG